UUUGAAAAAAGAAGAAAUACAAGUAAAGGUGUUACCUGCUACUCAGAGAUGCCAACAAUAUUCUGCUUGGAUUUGAGAAAAGAAAGGACUAUUUGUGGAGCUGGGUUAUCAGAAGGUCUGAAAUAAAAUGCUACCCAAGCUGCAUAUAAAACCAGAGGAAGUCUGUAAACUCCUUGUCACACAUGCAUAUCGUCAUCAUCAUCAUCGUCAUCAUUGUCAUCACUAUCACUACCAUCAUCCUCAUCAUGGCAGCAAAUCAGAAGCGUGGGAGGGUGAGAGAAUUCACCAGAG
Talpa occidentalis (Iberian mole) is the source of this 291-nucleotide long non-coding RNA. RefSeq lists it as uncharacterized. NCBI's taxonomy places the organism in Eukaryota, Metazoa, Chordata, Mammalia, Eulipotyphla, Talpidae. The record is from RefSeq and is a predicted model, not a curated record. The transcript has 4 exons.